This 1346-nucleotide ribosomal RNA is filed under the name uncultured bacterium. Its description in RNAcentral is "partial 16S ribosomal RNA". It matches the Rfam family "Bacterial small subunit ribosomal RNA", at positions 28 to 1381 of the family's 1533-position model. The record is from RNAcentral.
GACGAACGCUGGCGGCGUGCUUAACACAUGCAAGUCGAACGGAAAGGCCCUGCUUUUGUGGGGUGCUCGAGUGGCGAACGGGUGAGUAACACGUGAGUAACCUGCCCUUGACUCGGGGAUAACUUCAGGAAACUGGGGCUAAUACCGGAUAGGAGCUCCUGCUGCAUGGUGGGGGUUGGAAAGUUUCGGCGGUUGGGGAUGGACUCGCGGCUUAUCAGCUUGUUGGUGGGGUAGUGGCUUACCAAGGCUUUGACGGGUAGCCGGCCUGAGAGGGUGACCGGCCACAUUGGGACUGAGAUACGGCCCAGACUCCUACGGGAGGCAGCAGUGGGGAAUAUUGCACAAUGGGCGGAAGCCUGAUGCAGCAACGCCGCGUGCGGGAUGACGGCCUUCGGGUUGUAAACCGCUUUCGCCUGUGACGAAGCGUGAGUGACGGUAAUGGGUAAAGAAGCACCGGCUAACUACGUGCCAGCAGCCGCGGUGAUACGUAGGGUGCGAGCGUUGUCCGGAUUUAUUGGGCGUAAAGGGCUCGUAGGUGGUUGAUCGCGUCGGAAGUGUAAUCUUGGGGCUUAACCCUGAGCGUGCUUUCGAUACGGGUUGACUUGAGGAAGGUAGGGGAGAAUGGAAUUCCUGGUGGAGCGGUGGAAUGCGCAGAUAUCAGGAGGAACACCAGUGGCGAAGGCGGUUCUCUGGGCCUUUCCUGACGCUGAGGAGCGAAAGCGUGGGGAGCGAACAGGCUUAGAUACCCUGGUAGUCCACGCUGUAAACGGUGGGUACUAGGUGUGGGGUCCAUUCCACGGGUUCCGUGCCGUAGCUAACGCUUUAAGUACCCCGCCUGGGGAGUACGGCCGCAAGGCUAAAACUCAAAGGAAUUGACGGGGCCCCGCACAAGCGGCGGAGCAUGCGGAUUAGUUCGAUGCAACGCGUAGAACCUUACCUGGGUUUGACAUGGAUCGGGAGUGCUCAGAGAUGGGUGUGCCUCUUUUGGGGUCGGUUCACAGGUGGUGCAUGGCUGUCGUCAGCUCGUGUCGUGAGAUGUUGGGUUAAGUCCCGCAACGAGCGCAACCCUUGUUCACUGUUGCCAGCACGUUAUGGUGGGGACUCAGUGUAGACCGCCGGGGUCAACUCGGAGGAAGGUGGGGAUGACGUCAAGUCAUCAUGCCCCUUAUGUCCAGGGCUUCACGCAUGCUACAAUGGCUGGUACAGAGAGUGGCGAGCCUGUGAGGGUGAGCGAAUCUCGGAAAGCCGGUCUCAGUUCGGAUUGGGGUCUGCAACUCGACCUCAUGAAGUCGGAGUCGCUAGUAAUCGCAGAUCAGCAACGCUGCGGUGAAUACGUUCCCGGGGCU